GAGGGGAUAGCUCAGUGGUAGGGUGCAUGCUUAGCAUGCACAAGGUCCUGGGUUCAAUCCCCAGUACCUCCC
Molecule: transfer RNA, 72 nt
Filed under: Camelus bactrianus (Bactrian camel)
Lineage: Eukaryota; Metazoa; Chordata; Mammalia; Artiodactyla; Camelidae
Also listed under: 2 other names
Rfam family: tRNA
About the family: Transfer RNA (tRNA) molecules are approximately 80 nucleotides in length. Their secondary structure includes four short double-helical elements and three loops (D, anti-codon, and T loops).
Source: Rfam by way of RNAcentral